CCUUCUGGAGCUCGGAGAGGCCGGCAGUUUCUGCGCAACACGGAACCAGCAACUUUUGUUUUCACUGACAUGUAGUUUCAAUAGUCAUAAUCUUUCUCAAUCUUUUCGUACCGUUCUGUGGUCGGCCUCAAUUUACCAUGUGGUAUUUCACUUACAUUAUUCAGUGCUCCAAGACGAGUGUUCGGCAUUAUACGCAUCCUGAGUGGCCAUAACAGCUCGGGGGGCCCUACUGCGUUGACCCGCUACCUCUAGCCACAAGGCCGAACCUACCCUGAGAUCCCGAACAAGGUAAAUAUUUACUUGGGCGGUAUUUCCGAAAAAAAAUGUUAAAAAUCUGAAAAUACCUUUAUUUUAUGCUCUUCAACUUCCUCUUUUCAUUAAAAUCGGCGGAGAUUAGAAAUUCCAAAUACUUUAGGAGAUAUCGAAUUUUUAAAUUUCUUCAUAUGUAGUUGAGCGGUAUUUGCGAAAAAAAAUGUUAAAAAUCCGAAAAUACCUUUAUUAUAUGCUCUUCAAAUUCCUCUUUUCAUUAAUAGCGGCGGAGAUUAGAAAUUCCAAAUACUUUAGGAGAUAUCGAAUUUUUAAAUUUCAGCACAAAACCAGCGCAUUCCUGUGGCGUGCGUGCACCAUUGUUUCUUGUUUACGUACGAGUAUCUAUUUUUUUAUUGGAUAAUGAUGUCACGUGAUUGUUCGUGAUAGCCCAGAAUUCAAAUGAACUAAUACGUGAUUAUUUAGUUCAAUUAUUGUUUAAAACGGUGUUUAAUUACCGCCUCCAAAUUAGGUGAGUUUUUUACGUUUCUAAUUUUAAAGUCUUAUUUGUUAUUUUGAUAUUGUUGCGCAAGUAAUAAGUAACAAAAAAAUUUACGUGAGUUGUUACUGUACAUCCUUUGUUACAGGUUUGUUAGGUAAGGUCAGUUACAUUAUAAAUAAUUUAAAACUAAAGAAUAAUUAAAAUUAAUUCACAUUAUUUUUAAUAUCACCUUAGUUUGAAAGUAUUUAUAAUGUAACUGACCUGACCUAAUCGACCAUUUUAGUUUACUGUUCACCCUCUGUCCGGGUUUGUUUGGUCAGGUCAGUUACAUUAUAAAUAUUUUAAAACUAAACAGCCAUUAAAAUUAAUUCACAAAAUAAUUUUUAAUGUCGGCUUAGUUUGAAAGUAUUAAUAAUGUAACUGACCUGACCUAAUCAACCAUUUUAUUAAUUACGCAUUCACGAUUCACGUAUUCAUGAACACACGGCAAAAUAACAAAAAUGGCGCCGCUCGAAAGUUCUACAGGUCUUGUAUUGCAAAAUUAAAAAUUUCGAUAUCUCCUAAAGUAUUUGGAAUUUCUUAUCUCCGCCGCUUUUAAUGAAAAGAGGAAGUUGAAGAGCAUAUGAUAAAGGUAUUUUCGGAUUUUUAACAUUUAUUUUCGCAAAUACCGCUCAACUACAUAUGAUGAAAUUUAAAAAUUCGAUAUCUCCUAAAGUAUUUGGAAUUUAUUACUUCCGCCACUUUUAAUGAAAAGAGGAAGUUUAAGAGCAUAAAAUAAAGGUAUUUUCGGAUUUUUAACAUUUUUUUUUUCGGAAAUACCGCCCAAGUAAAUAUUUACCUAACAUAUAAGUUCAUGAACAUAUCUAUUUUUUUUUUCCUGUUUUAUACGCAUUAAUUUAAGGAAUUGACUUAGGCUGUUGUUGCACGAUGGAAUUUCUGUGUUUUUAAGGUGUGUACGAUAAUUAUGGUACAAUCCGGUAAUUUUUCAAAUACGAAUCUCAGAUUCUAAUCUAAUUCAUCCUCAGUGGAACUAACGACUACCUCUCUUGGUGGUCGAGGCCCAUUGACCAAUUGUAGAAUAGGCAAUGGAGCGGGAUCGUUGGUAUAUAGAACUGGCCACCAUGGACGGGGGUCUCAAGCAUGGGCGUAUAUAAGGGGGGGGGGGGGGGGGGGUUCAGGGGGUCCAGACCCCCCGCCCCCCUUAGCAUACGACAUAAUUAAAAUUAGCAGAAUAUUGAUGACGGAUAAUAUAAUCUGUGCCACAAAAUAUGAGCAUGCGUCAAAACAAUGAACUACCUAUAUAUGCUAGGUGGACACUGCGCCUUGCACAUACCCCCUCUCGACUUCUGCGCACCAUUCAUACUGCGCCUGCGCCGCACCCGUCUCCCGCGCGACGCGCUUACUGCGCAUGCGCACAACAGUCGAGUCUCGCGACCUUGAUAGAACCACGCGCCUUCACCAGCCAACAUGUUUUUUCAAGCCAUAUUUUGUGGUUUUUUAAAUAUCUACUAUUGAAUAAAAAUUUAUUAUGAAACUGUCAUCAAACCAAGUAUCACUUUUGGAUUUUUUUGAAAAAAAAAGGAGAGAGUGAAAUCCCACCUUGAAGAAGUAGACUGACUGCUCGACUGGAAAAUCUGUCAUCCGAGAAGAUUUUUUAUAAUUUAUCAACUUAGAAGAUGUUUCAGCUCAAGCGUUAGAGAAGACUAUUAUAACGCAUCUCUUAAGCUAUAAUUUGGACAUGGAUAAAUUUAUUGGGCAAGGGUUUGAUGGUGCUGCAGUGAUGAGUGGUCGCUUACGAGACGUGAGAACAAUUAUUGCAUAACAAUACCCAAAAGCGCAAAUCGUACACUGUGUGGCUCACGUUCUGAAUUUGGUUCUAGUGCAUUCAAGUGAGGUACCUAUGAUAAGAAACUGUAUCGGAACCAUAAAAAGUAUAGUAAACUUUUUUUCAUCAAUUUCCACUUAGAGUCAGUCUUAUGAAGAAAAUUGCGCAUCAAAAUAACUCAUCUCAUUCAAUGCUUAUCGCUCUUUGUGAGACGCGAUGGACAGAAAAACAUGUGGCUGUUGAGAGAUUCGCAGAAAUGCUUCUAAUAGUACGCACAGCACUUGAAACACUUCAGGAUUCUACUAAUAGAAAUGUCAGCACUGAAGCAUACCAACUGCAAACAGCUAUGGAAAACAGCCAAUUCAUCGUGUCAUUAGUUGUACUGAGAAAAGUAUUUUCAUAUACAGUAAAUCUAAAUAAGGCAAUGCAAAAGAUCAAUGCCUAUUUGACCAAAAUUUGCAGUUAUGUAAAAACAAUAAAAUUACUUUACAAAAUAUUCGGAAUGAAAACGAGAUCGCGAUCCUUUUUGAGCAGGCAAAAAAUUUCAGUUUAAACGACAUAAAUGUUCCAAGAACGACUGGAAGGCAAACUCAGCGCAGUAAUGUUCCAGGAGAAACUGCUGAGAUAUAUUAUUGUCGAAAUGUAUUUUACCCUUUCAUUGACCAUGUGAUUACAAAACUUGAUGCACGCUUUAAACCACAUGAAAAAACAAUAGAAGUGAUUCAAAUGCUUCUGCCUGAGAAGAUCAAUAAGGAUCCAGGAUAAGCGGAAGGCUUAAAAAAAUAGCACUAUUAUUUUUGGGAGAAACUGAGGCAAAUAAUUUUUCAAGUGAGUAUGAAAUAUGGCAGAAUCAUUGGGAACAUAUGGCGAAAAAACCAUCCACCACACUAGAAAGUCUAGAUAAGUGCGAGAAUCAAUUUUUUUUACUAUAAAAAAGCUGAUCACUACUUUGGCCACACUCCCAGUGUCCACAGCAACCCCAAAAAUAUGUUUUCAACCCUCAAGAGGUUAACAAACUACUUGAGAAACAGCAUGGGAGAUGAACGACUAACUGGGCUUGCGUUGAUGAGAGUUCAUCGUGACAUAGUUUCUGAACUGAAUUCUGAUGAAAUCAUAAAUAUGUUGGCCACAAGACGUAAAAUGCUAAAUUUAAUACUUUGAAGUUUUCAAUUUUUUAACUUUUUACCUCUAAUUUAUUAUUUUAUUUUGAAGGUUUUUCUAUGUCAAAUGUUUUAAUUGAUUGUAGUAUUUUUUUAUGUCAAAAUGUUUUAUGUUGAUUGUGCAAUACGAAAAUAAAUAAAAUCCGAAGCAUCACAAAGAUUAAAUAAAAA
Bacillus rossius redtenbacheri is the source of this 3904-nucleotide long non-coding RNA. RefSeq lists it as uncharacterized. NCBI's taxonomy places the organism in Eukaryota, Metazoa, Arthropoda, Insecta, Phasmatodea, Bacillidae. The transcript is spliced from 2 exons. The record is from RefSeq and is a predicted model, not a curated record.